RNAcentral lists this ribosomal RNA (177 nucleotides) under uncultured bacterium. RNAcentral describes it as "partial 16S ribosomal RNA". It matches the Rfam family "Bacterial small subunit ribosomal RNA", at positions 335 to 524 of the family's 1533-position model. The record is from RNAcentral.
ACUCCUACGGGAGGCAGCAGUGGGGAAUAUUGCGCAAUGGGCGAAAGCCUGACGCAGCGACGCCGCGUGAGGGACGAAGGUCUUCGGAUUGUAAACCUCUUUCAGCAGGGACGAAGCGAAAGUGACUGUACCUGCAGAAGAAGCACCGGCUAACUACGUGCCAGCAGCCGCGGUAAU